Molecule: ribosomal RNA, 254 nt
Filed under: uncultured bacterium
Lineage: Bacteria
Description: partial 16S ribosomal RNA
Rfam family: Bacterial small subunit ribosomal RNA
Source: RNAcentral
UACGUAGGGGGCAAGCGUUGUCCGGAUUUAUUGGGCGUAAAGAGCGUGUAGGCGGUUUGGUAGGUCCGCUGUGAAAACUCGAGGCUCAACCUCGAGACGCCGGUGGAAACCAUCAGGCUAGAGUCCGGAAGAGGAGAGUGGAAUUCCUGGUGGUAGCGGUGAAAUGCGCAGAUAUCAGGAGGAACACCGGUGGCGAAGGCGGGUCUCUGGGCCGUAACUGACGCUGAGGAGCGAAAGCGUGGGGAGCGAACAGG